GAUGAACGCUGGCGGCGUGCCUAAUACAUGCAAGUCGAGCGAACAGACGAGGAGCUUGCUCCUCUGACGUUAGCGGCGGAUGGGUGAGUAACACGUGGAUAACCUACCUAUAAGACUGGGAUAACUUCGGGAAAUCGGAGCUAAUACCGGAUAAUAUAUUGAACCGCAUGGUUCAAUAGUGAAAGACGGUUUUGCUGUCACUUAUAGAUGGAUCCGCGCCGCAUUAGCUAGUUGGUAAGGUAACGGCUUACCAAGGCAACGAUGCGUAGCCGACCUGAGAGGGUGAUCGGCCACACUGGAACUGAGACACGGUCCAGACUCCUACGGGAGGCAGCAGUAGGGAAUCUUCCGCAAUGGGCGAAAGCCUGACGGAGCAACGCCGCGUGAGUGAUGAAGGUCUUCGGAUCGUAAAACUCUGUUAUUAGGGAAGAACAAAUGUGUAAGUAACUAUGCACGUCUUGACGGUACCUAAUCAGAAAGCCACGGCUAACUACGUG
RNAcentral lists this ribosomal RNA (497 nucleotides) under uncultured bacterium. RNAcentral describes it as "partial 16S ribosomal RNA". It matches the Rfam family "Bacterial small subunit ribosomal RNA", at positions 28 to 507 of the family's 1533-position model. The record is from RNAcentral.